CUUGUUAAUAAUAGGAGGUCCAGCCUGCCCAGUGACAAAGUUUAACGGCCGCGGUACCCUAACCGAGCGAAGGUAGCAUAAUCACUUGUUCUUUAAAUAAGGACUUGUAUCAAUGGCACCACGAGGGUCGUACUGUCUCCUUUCUCCAAUCAGUGAAACUGAUCUUCCCGUGAAAAAGCGGGAAUACACAUAUAAGACGAGAAGACCCCAUGGAGCUUUAAACCUCCAGCAACUUAACUAUAAAUUCCUUCACACCCCUAAAGAAAUGCUUGUUGGUUUUAGGUUGGGGUGACCACGGAGUAAAAACUAACCUCCGCAACGCAUAACCUAAAUUUUUAUUUAAGAGCCACAACUCUAAAAAAUAGUAUACUAACGUACACUGAUCCGAUAAUCGAUUAAUGAACCA
RNAcentral lists this ribosomal RNA (406 nucleotides) under Kurixalus bisacculus (green-limbed tree frog). RNAcentral describes it as "partial 16S ribosomal RNA". It matches the Rfam family "Bacterial large subunit ribosomal RNA", at positions 1835 to 2441 of the family's 2925-position model. Lineage: Eukaryota; Metazoa; Chordata; Amphibia; Anura; Rhacophoridae. The record is from RNAcentral.